Molecule: ribosomal RNA, 253 nt
Filed under: uncultured bacterium
Lineage: Bacteria
Description: partial 16S ribosomal RNA
Rfam family: Bacterial small subunit ribosomal RNA
Source: RNAcentral
UACAGAGGGGGCAAGCGUUAUUCGGAAUUAUUGGGCGUAAAGGGCGCGUAGGCGGCCUGACAAGUGGAAGGUGAAAUCCCUCGGCUUAACCGAGGAACUGCCUUCCAAACUGUUUGGUUUGAGUCCGGGAGAGGCGAGUGGAAUUCCCAGUGUAGCGGUGAAAUGCGUAGAUAUUGGGAGGAACACCAGUGGCGAAGGCGGCUCGCUGGACCGGAACUGACGCUGAGGCGCGAAAGCGUGGGGAGCAAACAGG